UAGAACCUCAGUUUGAACUAAUCCCUUGCAACUUCUUUUUUAAUCUUCUCUUGUUUCAAAUAAUAACAACCCAUCAAUUGUCAUUUUAUGAAAUAUAAAGUCAUGGUGUUUGUCAUGAAAGUGAUGGAAUUUUCCCAAAUUCUUUUACACUGGAUCAGCAUAGUAGGAAUUAGCUGCUGUUGGGCUAUGAAAUGUGAGCUAGAUUGUACUAUUUACAGAGGGCCAAUAUUAAUAUUGACUAGUUUUGUUCUACAUGCAGAUCAGUCACCCUACUGAUGUGA
RNAcentral lists this unclassified non-coding RNA (281 nucleotides) under Hevea brasiliensis (rubber tree). The record is from RNAcentral. Lineage: Eukaryota; Viridiplantae; Streptophyta; Magnoliopsida; Malpighiales; Euphorbiaceae.